GGAGAAGAAUUUGAUUUUGAGUAUUAUAAAAAGCUUGCUUUGGAUCCGAAGGUGGUGGCAAUAGGGGAGUGCGGGUUGGAUUAUUACAGGACCGAAGACUCCCGCCUUCUCCGCCA
RNAcentral lists this transfer RNA (116 nucleotides) under bacterium. RNAcentral's name for it is "tRNA-OTHER". RNAcentral also lists the same sequence under 1 other name. The record is from RNAcentral.